Molecule: ribosomal RNA, 733 nt
Filed under: Streptomyces artemisiae
Lineage: Bacteria; Bacillati; Actinomycetota; Actinomycetes; Kitasatosporales; Streptomycetaceae
Description: bacterial SSU rRNA
Rfam family: Bacterial small subunit ribosomal RNA
Source: RNAcentral
AGCCCGCGGCCUAUCAGCUUUUGGUGGGGUGAUGGCCUACCAAGGCGACGACGGGUAGCCGGCCUGGAGGGCGACCGGCCACACUGGGGCUGAGACACGGCCCAGACUCCUACGGGAGGCAGCAGUGGGGAAUAUUGCACAAUGGGCGGAAGCCUGAUGCAGGACGCCGCGUGAGGGAUGACGGCCUUCGGGUUGUAAACCUCUUUCAGCAGGGAGAAGCUUUUAUCGGUGACGGUACCUGCAGAAGAAGCACCGGCUAACUACGUGCCAGCAGCCGCGGUAAUACGUAGGGUGCGAGCGUUGUCCGGAAUAUUGGGCGUAAAGAGCUCGUAGGCGGCGUGUCACGUCGGAUGUGAAAGCCCGGGGCUAACCCCGGGUCUGCAUUCGAUACGGGCUCGCUAGAGUUCGGUAGGGGAGAUCGGAAUUCCUGGUGUAGCGGUGAAAUGCGCAGAUAUCAGGAGGAACACCGGUGGCGAAGGCGGAUCUCUGGGCCGAUACUGACGCUGAGGAGCGAAAGCGUGGGGAGCGAACAGGAUUGAUACCCUGGUAGUCCACGCCGUAAACGUUGGGAACUAGGUGUGGGCGCAUUCCACGUCGUCCGUGCCGCAGCUAACGCAUUAAGUUCCCCGCCUGGGGAGUACGGCCGCAAGGCUAAAACUCAAAGGAAUUGACGGGGGCCCGCACAAGCGGCGGAGCAUUGGCUUAAUUCGACGCAACGCGAAGAACUUACCAA